Molecule: transfer RNA, 85 nt
Filed under: Bacilli bacterium
Lineage: Bacteria; Bacillati; Bacillota; Bacilli
Description: tRNA-Leu
Rfam family: tRNA
About the family: Transfer RNA (tRNA) molecules are approximately 80 nucleotides in length. Their secondary structure includes four short double-helical elements and three loops (D, anti-codon, and T loops).
Source: RNAcentral
GCAGUGAUGGCGGAACUGGUAGACGCGCACGUUUGAGGGGCGUGUGAUUUAUAUCGUGUGAGUUCAAAUCUCAUUCGCUGCACCA